CUGCUAUUGGGGUUCGACUAAGCCAUGCGAGUCUAUGGACUUCGGUCCAUGGCGGACGGCUCAGUAACACGUGGCUAACCUACCCUCGGGUGGGGGAUAACCUCGGGAAACUGAGGAUAAUACCCCAUAGGAGAAGAGGUCUGGAAUGAUCCUUCUCUGAAAACAUAUGUGCCCGAGGAUGGGGCUGCGUCUGAUUAGGUAGUUGGUGGGGUAAUGGCCCACCAAGCCUACGAUCAGUACGGGCCUUGAGAGAGGCAGCCCGGAGAUGGGGACUGAGACACGGCCCCAGGCCCUACGGGGCGCAGCAGGCGCGAAACCUCCGCAAUGCACGAAAGUGCGACGGGGGGACCCCAAGUGCUUACGCACUGCGUAGGCUUUUCUAAAGUGUAAAAAGCUUUAGGAAUAAGGGCUGGGC
RNAcentral lists this ribosomal RNA (415 nucleotides) under uncultured prokaryote. RNAcentral describes it as "bacterial SSU rRNA". It matches the Rfam family "Archaeal small subunit ribosomal RNA", at positions 27 to 447 of the family's 1478-position model. The record is from RNAcentral.